GACUCUCGGCAACGGAUAUCUCGGCUCUUGCAUCAAUGAAGAACAUAGUGAAAUGCGAUACUUGGUGUGAAUUGUAGAAUCCCAUGAACCAUCGAGUUUUUAAAUGCAAUUUGCGCCUAAAGCCAUUACGCCAAGGGCAUGCCUGCCUGGGUGUCA
RNAcentral lists this ribosomal RNA (156 nucleotides) under Cajanus cajan (pigeon pea). RNAcentral's name for it is "5.8S ribosomal RNA". It matches the Rfam family "5.8S ribosomal RNA". Rfam says of the family: 5.8S ribosomal RNA (5.8S rRNA) is a component of the large subunit of the eukaryotic ribosome. It is transcribed by RNA polymerase I as part of the 45S precursor that also contains 18S and 28S rRNA. Lineage: Eukaryota; Viridiplantae; Streptophyta; Magnoliopsida; Fabales; Fabaceae. The record is from Rfam by way of RNAcentral.